AUGCAGAGGAGAUCCCAUUGCUCUGCAGGUCAACUGCGCCUCCCGUGGACGGUCAUCUCCACUGGAGCCCUUGCAUCAUCCCACCUCCCAGCGCUCAGGCCGUUCGCCGCUGCCAAAUCCAGUUGUUCAACGAUAAGUUCAUUUCUUAUUGCCCGAGAGUUCAUGUAUUACUACAAAAAAUUGACAUUCAGAACACCAAUAGGAAAAAACAGCCAGCAGAAGUCCGUUCAGCAGUGGCCAGGCCGUUCAGUGACGCGAAGCAAGGUCGUUCACUGGAUCAGGGUCAUCCCGUCGAUCCCCUCUUCGGCGCGCGCUGCUCGGCCUCCCACCAUGCAAGUCCACCGCUCGUUGCGUGCUGCCACUGUCGGGGCCGGCGAGACCCACCCGCCCACCUCCUGUCCCCGCCUGUGGCCGCUUUUGAAGUCCAGCCUGACUAGCCUAUUCAGUUCGAUACUCGGUGUGCUCUACGGACGGGGAGGCAUGGAGCUGUCGACUAGUAUGGGAGGCGAGCUGCUACUGCGAUGGGGAGGCAGUCCAGCACCCAGUUCGGUGCUCUGGGAGAAACUGAAGAGCUUCCUGGGCAUAAACAAGCAGAGAAGCUUCAAGUUCCUGUCCAUGGAGAAGCAUCAGAGUUUCGAGGAGAGGAGGAGCAGGGACAACGCUGGAAAGAAGAGGGUGAUAGCGCACCACCUCGCGGCAAGGACCGGCAAUAUCUACCAUUACAGAGUACUACCGAACAUCAAGCUCAAUCUUGCCCGCUUUGAUGCUAUGUAUGAGUGGAUAAGAUAG
This 789-nucleotide ribosomal RNA is filed under the name Triticum aestivum (bread wheat). Its description in RNAcentral is "partial small subunit ribosomal RNA". Lineage: Eukaryota; Viridiplantae; Streptophyta; Magnoliopsida; Poales; Poaceae. The record is from RNAcentral.